RNAcentral lists this ribosomal RNA (255 nucleotides) under uncultured bacterium. Its description in RNAcentral is "partial 16S ribosomal RNA". It matches the Rfam family "Bacterial small subunit ribosomal RNA", at positions 524 to 776 of the family's 1533-position model. The record is from RNAcentral.
GACGUAGGGCGCGAGCGUUGUCCGGAUUUAUUGGGCGUAAAGAGCUCGUAGGCGGCUUGUCGCGUCGAAUGUGAAAACUCGGGGCUCAACUCCGAGCUUGCAUUCGAUACGGGCAGGCUAGAGUUCGGUAGGGGAGACUGGAAUUCCUGGUGUAGCGGUGAAAAUGCGCAGAUAUCAGGAGGAACACCGGUGGCGAAGGCGGGUCUCUGGGCCGAUACUGACGCUGAGGAGCGAAAAGCGUGGGGAGCGAACAGG